GACGAACGCUGGCGGCGUGCUUAACACAUGCAAGUCGAACGCUGAAGCUUGGUGCUUGCACUGGGUGGAUGAGUGGCGAACGGGUGAGUAAUACGUGAGUAACCUGCCCUUGACUCUGGGAUAAGCCUGGGAAACUGGGUCUAAUACUGGAUACGGCAUGUCACCGCAUGGUGGUGUGUGGAAAGGGUUUUACUGGUUUUGGAUGGGCUCACGGCCUAUCAGCUUGUUGGUGGGGUAAUGGCUCACCAAGGCGACGACGGGUAGCCGGCCUGAGAGGGUGACCGGCCACACUGGGACUGAGACACGGCCCAGACUCCUACGGGAGGCAGCAGUGGGGAAUAUUGCACAAUGGGCGGAAGCCUGAUGCAGCGACGCCGCGUGAGGGAUGACGGCCUUCGGGUUGUAAACCUCUUUCAGCACGGAAGAAGCGAAAGUGACGGUACGUGCAGAAGAAGCGCCGGCUAACUACGUG
RNAcentral lists this ribosomal RNA (472 nucleotides) under uncultured bacterium. Its description in RNAcentral is "partial 16S ribosomal RNA". It matches the Rfam family "Bacterial small subunit ribosomal RNA", at positions 28 to 507 of the family's 1533-position model. The record is from RNAcentral.